AACGGAGUAGCAUACUUAGUGGCGGACGGGUGAGUAACGCGUAAGAAUCUAGCUUCAGGUUCGGGACAACAGUUGGAAACGACUGCUAAUACCGGAUGUGCCUACGGGUGAAAGGCUUGCUGCCUGAAGAAGAGCUUGCGUCCGAUUAGCUAGUUGGUGAGGUAAAGGCUUACCAAGGCGUCGAUCGGUAGCUGGUCUGAGAGGAUGACCAGCCACACUGGGACUGAGACAAGGCCCAGACUCCUACGGGAGGCAGCAGUGGGGAAUUUUCCGCAAUGGGCGAAAGCCUGACGGAGCAAUACCGCGUGAGGGAAGAAGGCUCUUGGGUUGUAAACCUCUUUUCUCAGGGAAUAAAAAAAUGAAGGUACCUGAGGAAUAAGCAUCGGCUAACUCCGUGCCAGCAGCCGCGGUAAUACGGAGGAUGCAAGCGUUAUCCGGAAUGAUUGGGCGUAAAGCGUCCGCAGGUGGUACAACAAGUCUAGUGUCAAAGACCGGGGCUCAACCCCGGAAAGGCGGUGGAAACUGUUGAACUAGAGGGUCGUAGGGGUAGAGGGAAUUCCCAGUGUAGCGGUGAAGUGCGUAGAGA
This 586-nucleotide ribosomal RNA is filed under the name uncultured bacterium. RNAcentral describes it as "bacterial SSU rRNA". It matches the Rfam family "Bacterial small subunit ribosomal RNA", at positions 65 to 696 of the family's 1533-position model. The record is from RNAcentral.